This 378-nucleotide unclassified non-coding RNA is filed under the name uncultured Thermoleophilia bacterium. Its description in RNAcentral is "contains 16S-23S intergenic spacer region". The record is from RNAcentral. Lineage: Bacteria; Bacillati; Actinomycetota; Thermoleophilia.
UCCGGUUUGUCACCGGCAGUCCCCCAUGAGUCCCCGGCAUUACCCGCUGGCAACAUGGGGCGGGGGUUGCGCUCGUUGCGGGACUUAACCCAACACCUCACGGCACGAGCUGACGACAGCCAUGCACCACCUGUGAAGGUGCCCCGAAGGGAGACCGUGUUUCCACGGCUGUCACCAACAUGUCAAGCCCAGGUAAGGUUCUUCGCGUUGCGUCGAAUUGAACCACAUGCUCCGCUGCUUGUGCGUGCCCCCGUCAAUUCCUUUGAGUUUCAGCCUUGCGGCCGUACUCCCCAGGCGGGGCACUUAAUGCGUUAGCUGCGGCACCCAGGGGGUCAAUACCCCCAACACCUAGCAUCCAUCGUUUACGGCGUGGACUAC